CAUCCCUGGACCGUCUGGACAGUAGGGUAAGAUACACGACGCUUGCGGGAGCUUUUGUAGCUGCAAUGAUCUAAAUCUCCCUGUCUGCAAGUGUUUGCCUGGAUUUCAUCUGAAGUCAUUACCAGAUAAUUCCUCUGGAGAGCUGUUUAAAGAACACAACAUCGUGUGAAAGAAAAGACAUUGCAUUCUUAAACUUAACGAAGAUUGAAAUUGGAACCUCGGACACGCAAGUCGCAGUAGAAAGCGAAGCAGACUGCCAAUUUGCAUGCCUGGACACGUGCCCUAAAUGCCAGGCAUAUUCGUAUAAUACUAGAAUUAUCUGGGCUCGGGAUUUACCCACUCUUCAAGAACAUUCCCCUCAAAAAGGCAUUUCUUUUUCUGUCGGUUACUCAUUUCAGACAAAGCAUCAAACGCCAGAACCCGUGAACCUUGUGGCACAACAAUAGUUCCAUAUCCACUGAGCACUGGGCCAAAUUGUGGAGAUCCCUUGUACUUCAAGUUAAAUUGCUACAAAUCAACAGGCGAGGUUAACUUCACGAUGCCUGAACUUGGACCGAAUCGCGUUGGCUAAAAUAAAUCCAGAUGAUCGGAAGUUGAUCCAAAUUCAAGGUCCAUACAUCAGUGAUGAUAAAGAGAACCAAGGAGUUCAGCUUGACUCACCAUUUAUUGUAACCAACUGGUGCUAAUUUGCCAGGGUCAAGAGGAAAUAGAGGUUAGUUGGCUACCACCAAUAGAACCUCUCUGUCAUAACUUUGUAGACUGCAUCAAUUGGCCCCAUUCAACCUGCAACAAUGAUUCAAAGGAUGGAAAACAAAGGUGUCUUUGUAAUAAAAACUAUUACUGAAACAACUCAACUCAAAUUGCAGCUCAGUUAGAGCCAUCUGGAAGAAAAAAAAGAGCCUCUCACGAUAAUUCUUGUGGUGACUCUCUUAAGUUUGGCUUUCGUGGCAUGCAUGGUUGUUUUUGCCUAUCUAUGGAAAACGAAAAUGGUCCAUAAGAAAGACAGGGGAAGAGUUCAGAGAAUUCGAGGGCACAUGUAUGACAGUGAAAUACAAGUGAAAGAUUUGAUAGACUUGCAAGAAUUAGAAGAAAAUGAUACUGAAGGCAUUGAGGUACCAUAUUGUGAUUUUGAAACCAUAUUAGCUGCUAUAGAUAACUUUUCAGAUGCAAACAAGCUUGGACGAGGAGGUUAUGGCCCUGUUUACAGGGUAAUUGACUCAUCUUGCUUGACUAUUUAAUUUUCGCUGAUGGCUUUUGGAGAUAUUCUUUUUCUUUUGGGUAUAUUACCAGGAGAACAUUAUAUUGCAGCAAAGAGGCUUUCAAAUGUUUCCUCACAAGGUUCAAAGGAAUUCAAGAAUGAAGUUAUUUUGACAUCCAAACAAUAGCAUCGAAACCUCGUCAGACUGUGGGCUAUGGCAUAACAGGAUAUGAAAAAAUCUUACUUUAUGAAUACUUGCCAAACAAGAGCUUGGACACAUUCUUGUUCGGUCAGGUUUCAGAUGCGUUAAUUUUUGAUAAUAUUUGGAUUUGAUGUUGCUUUAGGAUCUUGUAGGAUUUGGUGCACAUCUAAGGAUAAGCAUUAUACUUAUCUUUAACAUAAACCAUCUAAAUUAGACUUUAGACGUUUUAAAUUAUAUAUUUGAUCAAAUUUUGAUAUCUGUUAUUUUACAAGAAAUAACAGAAAGAAAAACAUGAUCUUCUAACAGUUAAUAAAAAAUUAAACCAAAUCUAGAUUGUAUGAGGAAGAUGAGCAUGGUUCUUAUAUGAUCAUCUCCCUAAAUGAUCACUAGAUCCAAAUUCUUUUAAUGCUUUCUAUGCAUUGCAUAAGCUUGAUGGACUUAAGGAAAACGAAAAUGUUGAUACAAAUACUACACAAAGUCUGAGUUUAGUUGGCAGUUGCAGUUUGAUAUAAUUCUUGAGUUGCUCGAGGGAUGUUAUAUCUUUAACAAGAUUCUAAAUUAAGAGUAAUUCACAGAGACUUAAAAAUGAGUAAUAUUUUUCUCGAUGCUUCAAUUUUGGUUUGGUUAAAAUAUUUAAAAACAAAGAAAUUGAAGCCAACAUGGAGAGAAUAGUUGGAACUUAGUUUGAGAUAUCUAUUUAAUUAUAAUGAAACUGACCCUUAACUUCAUUUACAAGAAAGGAAGUUACAUUUUUUUACUUUUUAUUUCAUAAUGGCUAUAUGACUCUAGGGCAUGCAUUUGAUGGAUUACUUUCAAUAAAAAAAGAUGUUUUCAGUUUCAACGUAGUGGUACUUGAAAUUAUCAGUGGAAAAAGGAACAUGAAAUUCUUUCAAUCGAAGCAAGUUUAAUUUCCAAUCUCUUGGGCUAUGUAAGUUUCAUCCCGUUCCUCUCUUAGCUUAUUGUUCUUUUGCAUUAUGGUGUUUAUGAGCAUGAAUAUGCAGGCAUGGAGGCUAUGGACAGAUAAUAAGUUGUUGGAUGUAAUGGUCCAUCUUUGAGUGAAAGCUGCGAUGUU
Prosopis cineraria is the source of this 2472-nucleotide long non-coding RNA. RefSeq lists it as uncharacterized. NCBI's taxonomy places the organism in Eukaryota, Viridiplantae, Streptophyta, Magnoliopsida, Fabales, Fabaceae. The transcript is spliced from 4 exons. The record is from RefSeq and is a predicted model, not a curated record.